GACGAACGCUGGCGGCGUGCUUAACACAUGCAAGUCGAACGGAAAGGCCCUGCUUUUGUGGGGUGCUCGAGUGGCGAACGGGUGAGUAACACGUGAGUAACCUGCCCUUGACUUUGGGAUAACUUCAGGAAACUGGGGCUAAUACCGGAUAGGAGCUCCUGCUGCAUGGUGGGGGUUGGAAAGUUUCGGCGGUUGGGGAUGGACUCGCGGCUUAUCAGCUUGUUGGUGGGGUAGUGGCUUACCAAGGCCUUGACGGGUAGCCGGCCUGAGAGGGUGACCGGACACAUUGCGACUGAAAUACGGCCCAGACUCCUACGGGAGGCAGCAGUGGGGAAUAUUGCACAAUGGGCGGAAGCCUGAUGCAGCAACGCCGCGUGCGGGAUGACGGCCUUCGGGUUGUAAACCGCUUUCGCCUGUGACGAAGCGUGAGUGACGGUACUGGGUAAAGAAGCACCGGCUAACUACGUG
This 468-nucleotide ribosomal RNA is filed under the name uncultured bacterium. Its description in RNAcentral is "partial 16S ribosomal RNA". It matches the Rfam family "Bacterial small subunit ribosomal RNA", at positions 28 to 507 of the family's 1533-position model. The record is from RNAcentral.